AGACACACUUUUAACAUAUUUUUACUCUCUAAAGUAAAAGUUCUCUCUUUCAAAAACAUUUCUUCAAAGCUUUUUCUCUACAUCUUCAUUACAUCAUAUCAUCCUUCUCUCAUUUUCUCAAGGCUCUAAAGAAAACAACUUCUCAAGGAUAUAAGGGUAAGGGUAAGGCCCUAAAUAAAGAUGCCCUUGCCUCUUCUCUAGAUAUACUAACAAGAAUGAAGGGUAUAAGUUAAGAAGCAAGGAGCAAGUAUAACCUUGCAUAGAAGAAGUUUGAAGCUUCAAAGGCUCCACUCAACACUGAAUUUGGAAAAGUUGGAUCUAUAAAAAUAUUCUCAAACAUCUCAAUAACAUCCAAAUGGAGAAACUUGUAUACCCAAGCAUGGAUGGCUAUAAGGAACUCACCUUGGAGUUCUUAAGUUCCUUGGAUGUAAGCAAGAAACAAGGAGAACUUAUAUACUUUGGCAUCUCUUUCAAUCCCUUCGGUCAGAAGCUCUCCCUCAUAAAAAGUGAACUUGGUGCAGUCUUUAACUUUCAAGAGCAAGGAAUCAUCGCUUUGGAAGAUCUCUAAGUAAGUUUAGUCUCUUUUUGGAAGGAAAUCUCUAUUAAAAAAAAUUAGACAAAAACUCCAAAGCCAAACAUCUUAAAUCUCUUAUUUAUUGGACCCUUCAUAAGAUCAUCACACUUACCAUUCAAGAAAGGUGUGAUGGCAAUGAAAAAAUCACCCAAAAAGAUCUAAGCAUCCUCUAUUGCAUGAUCUACAACAUCAAUCCAAUUAACUUACUUUCUUAUUAACCACUUUGUCCAUCUCUCCAAAUCUUCUCGUGGAUGCAUCUUGGUUUCAUUUUAUGUAUCCAUAAGUACAAAUUAAUUCAAUCUCCUUACCCCUACCAACCUUGUCUUCUUAAAACACCCAUUACCAAUAAGCACCAACUACAUCACCAUUCAAUACUUCUUACAUUCCAUAAUGACAAAAAAGAAAAGUCACAACUCCUUAAAGGUAAUCUUGGGUGCUAGUGCAUUCUCUUCCACAUAAUAAACAAGGAAGGAAAAAAGAGUAAGGUUGCACAUUGAAGAGGGUGAAGAGGAAGAAGAAGAUGUGGAAGAGACAAGGAUUCAAGAAGAGAGGGUCGAGCAAGAAAUAGGUAUCUCUUAAGGAAGGGUCACCCUAAGGGACAACAUGAUGAUCUUCAUGACCAAGUAAGCCAAAAAGGUUGAAAAUUUUUAUAGGCUUCUUAAGUAUGUUCAUAAGGAUCUUAUUGCAAUACCCGAAAUUUUUCUUUAAUAAAGAUAAUAUUAAUAAUGAUUAAUAAAUGAGUCUUAUUUAAAUUAAUUUAAUUAUAUUUUUAUUCGGUUUAAUUGGAAUAAUUUAAACGCAAUUUUGAAAUUUAAUAUUAGACAAAUAAAGGAGUUAAAUAAAUUUUUAAUUUCCUAUCCUUUCUUCCAUUCACCAGUUCAAUCCCCCUUCUUGGUUCAUAAGAGCAAACAAUAGUUUUCUAAAAUAUUUAUAUUGAACUAAUCAUGCAUACCCUACAUCUAAUUAUAUAAAUCAUAUGAAAUAAGUAAAGGGAAAUUAUAAGAUACCCUAGAAUCAUAGAGAAUCAUAAAAAAGAAGAAGAUACUUAUGUGAUGAUGGAUUUAGAAACCCUCAGAUUGUCACCAUUUUGUGCAGUUCCUCGAGUCUCAGGAGUAGAGGAGGGGGUUAAAUCAAAGAUUGGGUAGGAAUCCAAGUGUUUUUGCUAUUUGUUUGAUUUUUGGGAGUUUGUGUAUGUUGCCUCAAAAAUAUACUGUCGUUCUCUACUAAUGAUUGCCAACCCCUGGUUUAGGUUUCUCUUUUCUAUUUAUAGAGAAUGAUGGAGGAAACCCUAGAGGCCAUGAUAUGCGUUUCUUUCUAUUAUUGAUAAUUACAAAUAAUUAUUUUGACUUAUCAAAACGCUUUGAUCGAUAAAUAUUGAAUAAAGCAUAAAAAUAUUUAAGAAUUUGAACAAUUAUCAGUAAAACCUUCUAGAAGAUGUAUUUUUAUUAUUUUUGGCAUUUUAAAGUGAAAAAUAACCUAAAAAGAUAUUAAAGUCCGAAAGUAGAGUCAAUCGCGACUAUGUUGAGCCAAUCGGCUCUACUCGGCUCUAUGUACAAUCAAUCCAACUGUAGGAGAGCCCAUUGGUUCCAAGUUGGCACUUUUCAAAAAGUUUUACAAUUUGACCAUUGAUCUUUCAAAUUUUUCAAUUUCACCCCGCAAACUUAAUUUUUUCGAUCAAUUUAGUCCAAAUUAAUUUUGAAAAAUGAUUUUUGGUUUAAUUAUUUGCAACCUUAGCUGUGAUUUGACCGUCCUUAAUUUCUUAAGACUCGAGAGAAAGAGUAACUUUCAUCAUCGAAUUUUCCAUAAGUCUCUCAAUAUCUACAUCCGAAAAAAUGGAUGCUUACUGUUUGCCUUUCGAUUUUUCAAGAUCUAUAAAGAUAUGCAUGAUUUAUAUAAAUCGAGACAAUUUAUAAAUAUUGAGGAUACGGUAAAAAGAAUAUUAGUAUGAGCUGUAGAAGCUAGCUUCAUAGGUCCGAGGUAGUGCAGACUUUCUAUAUGGCUUUGGUUUAAGGACCACAUCCAUCUGAUUUAGGGAUCACACCUAUCUGAUUUAGGGACCAUGCCCGACUAAAUUAGGGGCCACACUCAUCUAAUUUGGGGACCAUGGCUGUCACAUCUUAAAGACUUUCCUUCAAAGAUAAUUAUAGCUAUAUGAGCUGUAGAAUCUACAUUUCGUAGUCUGGAGUUGGUGCAGAAUUUCCAUAUAGCUUUGAUUUAGGGACCACGCUUAUUAUAUCAAAUUUCUAGACAUUAGGCACCUUCGCCGUUGUUUGGAGUUUUCUGGUCCCUUUUGUCAUGAGAAGUAUGAUGGUAAAUUGGGCCGAUUGGCUCUAUGUACAAUUGAUUCGGCUAUACGCAAAGCCAAUUGGCUUUAGGUUGGAAAUUUUCAAAAAGUUUUGCAAUUGGACCUGUAAACUUUUAGAUUUUUUAAUUUCACCCCGUAAACUUAAUUUUUCUAUCAAUUUAGUCCAAAUUGAUUUUGAGAAAUAGUUUUGGUUUAAUUAUUCACAACCCUAGCUGUAAUUUGACCAUCCUCAAUUUAUGUAGACUCGAGAAAAGCAGUACCUUUCAUUAUCGGGUUUUUUAAAAUUCUUUCGAUAUAUAGAUCCGGAAAACGGGUGCUUCUAGAAUUAGAAUUGAAUUAGAUUAUUCACUAAUUCAUUCUAUUAGAACUAGAAAAGUAAUUAUAUAUAUAAUUGAAAUAAGAGAAGAUUAGUAAUUACUGAUUAACUCUAAAGGUAUUGGGAGCGGCGAUUUUGAGCGUGCACCCAAGUGUCUUUAGCGACUACGAUAGUGCAAGGCUUUUCAACCUAAUGAGGAACAUGCUAACUAGCCAUAAAGACUAGCGCAGAGAUGAGAGUCGCCACUUGGGUAACUAGGACACUUUUACAAAUGAGUGAUGUUUCUCGAUUCUAUAAAGAAGCUUACGUCAUAAACCUAGAGAAUGAUCUGGAAGCCAACUUCCUUAUUUGUGUAUAUUUGUCUUUAAUUUUAUUGUUUAAUAGGCUAUUCCCUAUAAAUGCAACAUACUAUUUUUACUAGGGCUGAGCAUGGAUCUCGGUGAUUCCCGUCCGAACCGAAUAACCGUACCGAAAAGUACCAGAACCGAAAAAAACCGAAAGUUUUUAUAACCGAAUUGAACCGAUCCGAAUUUUUUUACUAUUACGGUAUGGUAUUGGUUCUUUAGUAAAAACCGUACCGUAACCGUACCAGAACUGAUCCGUCUUGUACUGAUCCGGACCAAACCGUAGAACCAAAUUUUUUACAUAUAUUUAUAAAUAAUUAUUUAUAUUAUAUAAAUAAUACAUAUAAUAAAAAAAUAAUAUAUAUACUCUAUAAAAAAUUAUUUUAUAUUUAUCAUUUAUAUAAUUCAAGCAAUUGUUAUCGAAAUACAAAAAAUAAUACAUAUUAAAAAUAACUAUAAUAUUAUAAUAUACUUUAUACUCUAUAAAAAAUAUAAGUUAUAUAUAUUAAUAUGUCACAUAGUAUAUUGAUACUAGUAAUCUAGUAUACAUACUAUAAUACUAGAUUUAAAAUUUAUUUACAAUCUAGAAAUUUUUAACAAGUUAAUUAAAAAAUUACUUAAUUUAAUAAAAACUUAUAUAAAUUAGUAAAAAUUAUAAAAAGAUAUUAUUAUAUAAAUAUAGUAUUAUUUACAAUAUAUUUAUUAAUAAAUUAAUUUUUAAUUAUGUAAUAUUUUUAUUUUAAGAAUAAUAAUAUUAAUUAUACUAAAAGUAUUAAUUUAUAUAAAUAUUAAAAUUAAGAAAUAAAUAUUUUAAAAAUAAUUUUUAUAUUAUUAUACUAAUAAAACAUAAAAAAUUAAAUAUUUAGAAAUAAUUAAUUUAUUAACGUUUAAAAUAUUAUAAAUUAAUAUUAAAAUAUAAAAAAAUAUUAAAUUAUAUUUAUAAAUUUAAUUUUUUUUUUUGAAAAGGAUCAAACAAAACUUGAGAAAAAAUUGUCAAAACAUCUUUUAACAAUAUAGAAGUUCUUUACUUCCUACAACAGCGGAGGUCCUCAUUUGUUGUCAACAUUGGCUUAAAAGUUCAAAUAAACCUAUCCAACUAGAAGAAUCAAUAGAGGAUAUUGAAAGCAUAGAGUCAUGUAAUAUUUCUUUACUUCUUACAUAUGUUUGUUUAUUGUUGAUGCUGUUAAGUCUUAUUGACGUGAUUUUUUACUUUUAUUGUAGAAAUUAUUCAAGAUCUUGAGAUUGGUGAGUCCCUUAUGCCAAGAUUAAAUGUGGAAUGCUAAUUUUGAGGGGAGGUAAUAACAUUUCUUUGCUAAUUUUGGACAUGUAUUUUAGUGCUACAUAAAGUUUGUAAAUUUAUUUAUUUUAAUGAUUGCCAUCUGUAAAAUAUUUUUAUGCUAGCA
This 4942-nucleotide long non-coding RNA is filed under the name Ricinus communis (castor bean). RNAcentral's name for it is "long non-coding RNA (RCOM_LNC002714)". The record is from RNAcentral. Lineage: Eukaryota; Viridiplantae; Streptophyta; Magnoliopsida; Malpighiales; Euphorbiaceae.